Long non-coding RNA from Pteronotus mesoamericanus, 477 nucleotides. RefSeq lists it as uncharacterized. The record is from RefSeq and is a predicted model, not a curated record. The transcript is spliced from 3 exons. Lineage: Eukaryota; Metazoa; Chordata; Mammalia; Chiroptera; Mormoopidae.
GGCCUUGCAUUUCAGCUCAGUGGGCGGGAGGACAUAAAUUUCAGCUGUUUUCAGCCCUGCGGCUGCAUUUUUACGGAAGACUUCCAAGCGCACCAUGAAGCUGGCAGGCUUCCUCCUCCUUGUGGUCGCCAUGACCCUCAGCCUGGAGGUGCAGGAGCUCCGGGCUGCAGUGUUACCAGUGGAUCUCUUGGGCGCCUGCGUUGAACUCUGCAGAGGCGACUGGGACUGCGACAUGGGCGAGCGCUGCGUCAGCAAUGGGUGUGGCCACAUCUGUGCCACAAAGUGAGCACAGAUGAAGACUUUUCUUAAGGGUCAUCCUUUUCAAUUAAUUUCUCACCCCUUCCUGGAGCUCCUACCUUCAAAGAUGUGGCUGUUUGGAGCUCCUUGCCCAAGAAAACAGAUGAACAUGGAAAUCUGUGGGUGGAAAUUACAAGGGAUGUGGUGGGGAAGGGAAAAAAAUCUGUUUCUUUUAAUAAA